CAAUAGCGUAUAUUAAAGUUGUUGCAGUUAAAAAGCUCGUAGUUGGAUUUCUGGUGAGAUGGAUUAUGUCUAGGUCGAGAGAUCUUGUUCAUGGUUCGUUUUGCCCUUCUUGUCAGGAACCCGCUGAGAUUCGCGUCUUGUCGGUGGAAUGGCAUCGUUUACUGUGAAAAAAUUAGAGUGUUCAAAGCAGGCAUCGCCGUUGAAUACAUUAGCAUGGAAUAAUAAGAUAAGACUUUGGUGGUCUAUUUUGUUGGUUUGCACGCCAAGGUAAUGAUUAAUAGGGAUAGUUGGGGGUAUUCGUAUUCUAUUGCUAGAGGUGAAAUUCUUAAAUUUAUGGAGGACGAACUACUGCGAAAGCAUUUACCAAGGAUGUUUUCAUUAA
Molecule: ribosomal RNA, 382 nt
Filed under: uncultured eukaryote
Lineage: Eukaryota
Description: partial 18S ribosomal RNA
Rfam family: Eukaryotic small subunit ribosomal RNA
Source: RNAcentral